GAUAUUUUCCUCCGUAGGAAGGUGAAAUUUAGGGUCACCCUAUUAAUGGCCUGAUUAGAUCCCAGGCCUCUCAGCCACUUGGGAUAAAAGAAUAUAAAGGCUAACUACAGCAUUCUGGGGGCGGGAGGGGGGGAAAUCCCAUGAGCAAUUCAGUAUAAAAAACAGCUCAGCUCCUAAAACCUGGGGCCUGCACUGUCUGUUUUGCAUAGCACCGCACACGAUGGAAGAGCUUGCCCGGUCGUAAUAGAAGACAUCCUUGUCUGGUCCAGAGAAGUUCUUGCCGUAUUCCAUCGUGACAACAAAGAGGCCGUGCUGAGCUUCCCGCCCCGUGAGGGUCUCCAGCUCGGCCAGCAUCUUGAUGGGGUAUUCCUCCAGAAGGACGACGUCGGCCAGCACGCUGAACAUCUGGUACAAACCCGAGGCCUCAUUCACUCGGCGGAUGAUGGUGUUGGAGAACUAUGAAGGCACCAGCAGCUUUUACUGAGCACCCAUCACACGUCUUACCUGGUCCUACAAGCCAGGGUGUGUUGGGCAGGUGGAGAGAGAGCUGGCAGAAGGCCUCCCAAGCACAGUCCCAUCACAGAGCCGGCACAUCCCAAGCCAAGCUCAUCAUCUUUCCCCCACACUCACCAAGCUCCCCCUUCCCCAGUCUCCCUUUCCCUCAAUGCUCCCACUCUUCUUCCAGACAUCAGCUUUGACGUCUUUCCUCUCCUUUACCAUCUAUGUUCAAUCUGUCACUAAGUUCUGUCAAUUUUUCCUUUAAAAUAUCGGGCUGAUUUUUUCCCCCAUUUCAUUUAAAUAUAAUUUUAUCGCUAUUUUUUGUUUCCCUAUGGCUUAGGUUUCCCCUUGUAUCCCUUUCUCCUUCCUUCACUGGAAGUUACUACUUGUAAUAAAAAAUUUUUCAAAAAGGAAGAAAAAAGGAAAAAAGAUUCUCU
This is a non-coding RNA of Phascolarctos cinereus (koala), 935 nucleotides long. The record is from RefSeq and is a predicted model, not a curated record. NCBI's taxonomy places the organism in Eukaryota, Metazoa, Chordata, Mammalia, Diprotodontia, Phascolarctidae.